CCUACGGGAGGCAGCAGUGGGGAAUAUUGCGCAAUGGGCGAAAGCCUGACGCAGCGACGCCGCGUGAGGGAUGAAGGUCUUCGGAUCGUAAACCUCUGUCAGCAGGGAAGAACGGUCACUGUGCUAAUCAGUAGUGAAUUGACGGUACCUGCACAGGAAGCACCGGCUAACUCCGUGCCAGCAGCCGCGGUAAUACGGAGGUCGCGAGCGUUAAUCGGAAUUACUGGGCGUAAAGCUCUCGUAGGCGGUAUUUAAAGUCAAGGGUGAAAUCCCCGGGGUCAACGUGGGAACUGCUUUUGAAACUGGCAAACUAGAGUUUGAGAGAGGAUAGUGGAAUUCCAGGUGUAGGGGUGAAAUGCGUAGAUAUCUGGAAGAACAUCAGAGGCGAAGGCGACUAACUGGCACAUAACUGACGCUGAGGAGCGAAAGCGUGGGUAGCAAACAGGAUUAGAUACCCCAGUAGUC
This 465-nucleotide ribosomal RNA is filed under the name uncultured bacterium. RNAcentral describes it as "partial 16S ribosomal RNA". It matches the Rfam family "Bacterial small subunit ribosomal RNA", at positions 338 to 795 of the family's 1533-position model. The record is from RNAcentral.